RNAcentral lists this ribosomal RNA (448 nucleotides) under uncultured bacterium. RNAcentral describes it as "SSU rRNA". It matches the Rfam family "Bacterial small subunit ribosomal RNA", at positions 26 to 518 of the family's 1533-position model. The record is from RNAcentral.
AGAACGAACGCUGGCGGCAGGCCUCAAACAUGCAAGUCUAGGGGGUGUAGCAAUACAUCACCGGCGGACGGGUGCGUAACACGUGGGAAUGUACCUUUUGGUUCGGAACAACCCAGGGAAACUUGGGCUAAUACCGGAUAAGCCCUUACGGGGAAAGAUUUAUCGCCAAAAGAUCAGCCCGCGCUCGAUUAGCUUGUUGGUGGGGUAAUGGCCUACCAAGGCAACGAUCGAUAGCUGUUCUGAGAGGAAGAUCAGCCACACUGGGACUGAGACACGGCCCAGACUCCUACGGGAGGCAGCAGUUGGGAAUCUUGGACAAUGGGGGAAACCCUGAUCCAGCCAUGCCGCGUGAGUGAUGAAGGCCUUCGGGUUGUAAAACUCUUUCGACGGGGACGAUAAUGACGGUACCCGUAGAAGAAGCUCCGGCUAACUUCGUGCCAGCAGCCGC